AACGAACGCUGGCGGCAGGCUUAACACAUGCAAGUCGAACGCCCCGCAAGGGGAGUGGCAGCCGGGUGAGUAACGCGUGGGAAUCUACCCAUCCCUACGGAAUAACGCAUGGAAACGUGUGCUAAUACCGUAUACGCCCUACGGGGGAAAGAUUUAUCGGGGAUGGAUGAGCCCGCGUUGGAUUAGCUAGUUGGUGGGGUAAAGGCCUACCAAGGCGACGAUCCAUAGCUGGUCUGAGAGGAUGAUCAGCCACAUUGGGACUGAGACACGGCCCAAACUCCUACGGGAGGCAGCAGUGGGGAAUAUUGGACAAUGGGCGCAAGCCUGAUCCAGCCAUGCCGCGUGAGUGAUGAAGGCCUUAGGGUUGUAAAGCUCUUUCACCGGAGAAGAUAAUGACGGUAGCCGGAGAAGAAGCCCCGGCUAACUUCGUG
Molecule: ribosomal RNA, 431 nt
Filed under: uncultured bacterium
Lineage: Bacteria
Description: partial 16S ribosomal RNA
Rfam family: Bacterial small subunit ribosomal RNA
Source: RNAcentral